This 432-nucleotide ribosomal RNA is filed under the name uncultured bacterium. RNAcentral's name for it is "bacterial SSU rRNA". It matches the Rfam family "Bacterial small subunit ribosomal RNA", at positions 957 to 1391 of the family's 1533-position model. The record is from RNAcentral.
GAACGCGAAGAACCUUACCCGGGCUUGAACUAAGAGUGACAGAUUUAGAGAUAGAUUUUUCUUCGGACACUCUUGGAGGUGCUGCAUGGUUGUCGUCAGCUCGUGCCGUGAGGUGUCGGCUUAAGUGCCAUAACGAGCGCAACCCUUUUCCUUGGUUGCCAUCAGGUAAUGCUGGGCACUCCAGGGAUACUGCCAUCGUAAGAUGUGAGGAAGGUGGGGAUGACGUCAAAUCAGCACGGCCCUUACGUCCGGGGCUACACACGUGUUACAAUGGGGGGUACAGAAGGUCGCUACCUGGUGACAGGAUGCUAAUCUCCAAAACCUCUCUCAGUUCGGAUCGGAGUCUGCAACCCGACUCCGUGAAGCUGGAUUCGCUAGUAAUCGCGCAUCAGCCAUGGCGCGGUGAAUACGUUCCCGGGUCUUGUACACACC